AUUCUGUCUUUAUUUUGAU
RNAcentral lists this small nuclear RNA (19 nucleotides) under Arabidopsis thaliana (thale cress). Its description in RNAcentral is "snRNA_18242". Lineage: Eukaryota; Viridiplantae; Streptophyta; Magnoliopsida; Brassicales; Brassicaceae. The record is from RNAcentral.